CACAACAGUAAAUUGAAUAUAAUCAUACUACUCAUUAGUGAUGAGUUUUCAUUAGAUGUUUACAAAUUUUAGCACAUAACUAGGUAAUAUAUGCGUCACACACCUCGAUUGGAAUGGAUUAGUUCUUUAUCCAUAGAUCGGAGAUAUUCUUGGUAAUACAAAAACAAGUAAGUAAUACAUGCCUAAUUUUAAAGGAAAAAUAAAAUAAUUAAAUACCAUCUUUCUUUCUCAAGUAUUUAGGGCAUUGGCUAUACAUAUAAUAGGAAAUGGUCAUUAACAUCAUCACCUUCCCAUGCAUAACAUUCUGAAGUCAAAAUUGUAAUUGGCAAUAUAUCAAUCACAAUAAGCAAAAUAAAAAAAAAAACAUAUACAUACAAAAGAACCUCUUGCAUUCAGCACAACAUAACAUGUUCAAGGUUUCUUUGAAUUAUGCAUUCCAGAACAGCCACCAGAACCUAGUAUCUUAUAGUUCACGAAUCUGCUAGGAGCUGAGUUAUGUCUAGACCCUUUUGGCAAACAACCUUUUACUUCUCUUCCUUUAAAUAUUUUCUCUUUGUGAUUCAAAUGUGGCUUCACAUAAGUUUCAACUUCUGAUGAAACUAUUGGUCUUGUAACUGUACUUGGAGCACUAAGGGGAAUGAUCCUUCCACCCAUUGUUAUGCCAAGAAAAUUUAGUGAAAGAAGGAAGCAUAGUACCACAAGGGAAAAAUGUGUAGUAGACAUUUGAGUUUCUUUUUUCUUUUUCUUUUUGAAUUUCUAAAGUCUCUUAUUUGAGUUUAUGAAUGGAGAGGUUUAAAAGAGAUUUUAUGGUAGAUUGUUGUGAAGGGUUUGGAACUAAGUGCCUUAAAU
RNAcentral lists this long non-coding RNA (849 nucleotides) under Lupinus angustifolius (narrow-leaved blue lupine). RNAcentral describes it as "long non-coding RNA (LANG_LNC001144)". The record is from RNAcentral. Lineage: Eukaryota; Viridiplantae; Streptophyta; Magnoliopsida; Fabales; Fabaceae.